Molecule: ribosomal RNA, 424 nt
Filed under: Neodesmus cf. pupukensis CCAP 211-52
Lineage: Eukaryota; Viridiplantae; Chlorophyta; Chlorophyceae; Sphaeropleales; Scenedesmaceae
Description: bacterial SSU rRNA
Rfam family: Bacterial small subunit ribosomal RNA
Source: RNAcentral
CUUGUUGGUGAGGUAAUGGCUUACCAAGGCAAUGAUCAGUAGCUGGUCUGAGAGGAUGAUCAGCCACACUGGGACUGAGACACGGCCCAGACUCCUACGGGAGGCAGCAGUGAGGAAUUUUCCGCAAUGGGCGACAGCCUGACGGAGCAAUGCCGCGUGAAGGAUGAAGGCCUAUGGGUUGUAAACUUCUUUUCUCAGAGAAGAAGCAUUGACGGUAUCUGAGGAAUAAGCAUCGGCUAACUCUGUGCCAGCAGCCGCGGUAAGACAGAGGAUGCAAGCGUUAUCCGGAAUGAUUGGGCGUAAAGCGUCUGUAGGUGGCUUAAAAAGUCUCCUGUCAAAGAUCAGGGCUUAACCCUGGGCCGGCAGGAGAAACUCUUAGGCUAGAGUUUGGUAGGGGCAGAGGGAAUUCCCGGUGGAGCGGUGA